Molecule: ribosomal RNA, 449 nt
Filed under: uncultured bacterium
Lineage: Bacteria
Description: partial 16S ribosomal RNA
Rfam family: Bacterial small subunit ribosomal RNA
Source: RNAcentral
UGCCAGACUCCUACGGGAGGCAGCAGUGGGGAAUAUUGGGCAAUGGGCGCAAGCCUGACCCAGCAACGCCGCGUGAAGGAAGAAGGCUUUCGGGUUGUAAACUUCUUUUGACAGGGAGGAGCAGAAGACGGUACCUGUCGAAUAAGCCCCGGCUAACUACGUGCCAGCAGCCGCGGUAAUACGUAGGGGGCAAGCGUUGUUCGGAAUGACUGGGCGUAAAGGGUGUGUAGGCGGUGUAGCAAGUUAGAAGUGAAAUACCUAGAGCUUAACUCAGGUGCUGCUUCUAAAACUGCUAUACUUGAGUGCAGUAGAGGAAAGUGGAAUUCCUAGUGUAGCGGUGGAAUGCGUAGAUAUUAGGAGGAACAUCAGUGGCGAAGGCGACUUUCUGGACUGUAACUGACGCUGAGGCACGAAAGUGUGGGGAGCAAACAGGAUUAGAUACCCCUGUA